AUUGAACGCUGGCGGCAUGCUUUACACAUGCAAGUCGAACGGCAGCGCGGGCUUCGGCCUGGCGGCGAGUGGCGAACGGGUGAGUAAUACAUCGGAACGUGCCCAGUAGUGGGGGAUAGCUCGGCGAAAGCCGGAUUAAUACCGCAUACGACCUGAGGGUGAAAGCGGGGGAUCCUCGGACCUCGCGCUAUUGGAGCGGCCGAUGGCAGAUUAGCUAGUUGGUGGGGUAAAGGCCUACCAAGGCGACGAUCUGUAGCUGGUCUGAGAGGACGACCAGCCACACUGGGACUGAGACACGGCCCAGACUCCUACGGGAGGCAGCAGUGGGGAAUUUUAGACAAUGGGCGAAAGCCUGAUCCAGCAAUGCCGCGUGUGUGAUGAAGGCCUUCGGGUUGUAAAGCACUUUUGGCGGGAACGAAAAGGACUGUGCCAAUACCACGGUUCGAUGACGGUACCCGCAGAAUAAGCACCGGCUAACUACGUG
Molecule: ribosomal RNA, 484 nt
Filed under: uncultured bacterium
Lineage: Bacteria
Description: partial 16S ribosomal RNA
Rfam family: Bacterial small subunit ribosomal RNA
Source: RNAcentral